UGCGUAGGUGGUUAAAUAAGUUGGAUGUGAAAUCCCUCAGCUCAACUGAGGAACUGCAUUCAAAACUGUAUAACUAGAGUGUGAGAGAGGAAAGCGGAAUUCCUGGUGUAGCGGUGAAAUGCGUAGAUAUCAGGAAGAACACCUGUGGCGAAAGCGGCUUUCUGGACCAACACUGACACUGAGGCACGAAAGCUAGGGGAGCGAACAGGAUUAGAUACCCUGGUAGUCC
This 229-nucleotide ribosomal RNA is filed under the name uncultured bacterium. Its description in RNAcentral is "partial 16S ribosomal RNA". It matches the Rfam family "Bacterial small subunit ribosomal RNA", at positions 568 to 796 of the family's 1533-position model. The record is from RNAcentral.